Non-coding RNA from Ictidomys tridecemlineatus (thirteen-lined ground squirrel), 3197 nucleotides. Lineage: Eukaryota; Metazoa; Chordata; Mammalia; Rodentia; Sciuridae. The record is from RefSeq and is a predicted model, not a curated record.
UUCAUGUAUGACCUCAUCCUGUCUUCACAUAACCUAAAGAAUCCGUGAUAAACAGUGACCAUGACAAUGGAACCGACUUGUUCACAUUUUGCAGCAAAGUCUGUAAUGAACAAUUUGUAAAUGGCCAGUUAAUGUUUUGGUCCUGUUUCUUGAUCUGUGGCACAAUUCCUUCAGCUAAGUCAGUGGCUCAGCAGACUGGAGGGAGCUGGCCUAGAUCCCUCAGUGCCAGUAAAAUGAACUUCCAUGCACUCCAUUGCUUCUGGUGAUGUCUACCAACCAAAGGGGAAUGGCUUCCAAGGCCACCUAUAUGUCACGGUGUUCCCCUGCUCUGUGCAAUGACACAUAGGCCUGCCAGCGCACCAGGGUGGGAGGACUCAGAAGACCUAAGCUAUGGAGGGUUUGCCAUCUGCCUUAGCCCCAAGUACAGCUCAUUCUGAAGAACCUGAGCAUGCAUUAGAAGCCUUGGGACUCACCCAGGGCAGUUUGAAGGGGAACCAGGACUGGAUGGAUCUACAGUUCCAUUGGCAUCUGUUUUAUAUAUUGGCUUCCAUUUGAAGAACACUUUCCAUUGCUAUAAACAGCUUGAAAACCCCAAGCUAAUCCAGACUUUCUCCAUGAUAGGAAAGAAAACCAAGCUGAAAGAGAAGAGCUGAAACUGAGAUCCAGGUCUCCUAGUCCCAGGGAUCUUUGUCUGCUGUCCAAGCAAUUCCCUUAACUCUCUCCUCAUCCAGAUUGUAAGUUUUAGUUGGUGGUCUGUUCCCAGCCUUGAAUAACCAAAAUGUUUACUAGUGUGCUGACCACCAAGACAAGGUAUGGCCAGGCAGGAUGUCCAGUUCAGCUGCAUGGAUCAAAAAAACCAAAAGGACAGUCACUUAAACAAGAUAAAGGUUUAUUUCUCUAUUAUAUAGGCAGCAGAGUUGAUAUGGCAGUUCCAUACUAACAUCUUAAAACUUUUAAGAUCCCAAGCUCUUUCCAAUCCCUCAGUCAGCCAUCUCAAAGACUCCUUUGACACCUUUGGGACACAAGAUGGCAACCAGAACUCCAGCCACUACAUCCAUUUCCAGGAAGCAGACUAGAGGAGGGCAACAAGUAAACAGAGCAAAUGGAGAUAUUGUUGUUUCAAAGGAAAUUUCCUGAAAACUGCUACAAACCACCUCUACUCUAUGUCUUCAAACAACUGGCUCCAAAAAAGAUGAAAAGAGAACAUGUAGGCAGCCAUCCUCCCAACUAAAUAUUUCAGCUUCUAGUUCAAAAAGAAGGGAGAACUGCUAUUGGAGAACUUCUCUGCUGUGCUAGGAUUAUUUCAUUAAUACUCCAACAUUGUGAAGUAAUUUAUCUCUUCUGUACAGAUGAGAAAACUGAGUCUUAAAGAAGAUCUUUGAUCAAGGUCACAUACUCAAAAGCCCUGGCCUCCACAUUUUAGAAACCUGUCUCAAUAUGUGGUUCUCCACCGUCGGGAGCAACUCUGCUGCCCCUCCCCCAUGCCCCGUCCUGCCCACCCCUGUCUCCAGGAUACAUGUGACAAAAUGACAAUGUGCGGAGAUAUCUGGGGAUGUCACAACUGGAGUGGACCGUGCUCCUGCCACCUAGGCGGUUAGAGCCUACAGUGCACAGGAAGAUCCUCCACAAUAAGGAAUUAUCCAGCCCAGAAACUCUACAGGGCUGAGGCUAAGAAACCUGAUUGAAAGGAAGGUAUUCCUUUAGGGCAAAGAACAGAGGCUCACCAAAUAAUGAUUUUUCCCAAAAAUGUCACAGGGCAAAGGGAACGAUUCCUGAAGGAGAGAUUUAUAAAUAGAUCUAGGUUAGACUGCGCUGAGCACUCUCUAGCCGCCCCACCAACCACCACACACACACACACACACACACACACACACGCCUCUGGGUCUGCCGGUACGUGCCUGGUUCUUGGAAGUCAAGGAUUGAGACCCUCAAGCCAGCUACCAAACUGAAACUUGGAGCGGGACCGCUCAGAGGCCCAGGGUUUCGGGACAUCUCUUAAAAAAAAAAAAAAAAAAAACAGAAACGAGGCUUUGGCGUGGCCCCUGCAAGUGAGGUUUGGUGUCAUCAGCUUCAGGGUAAACCCAUUCUCUGGAAGCCCAGCUAUUAGGAAACCCGCGGAGCGCGGUGCUUUCGCCUCGGUCCGCACCUGGACUCAGCGGUGACAGACAGCUCCACUGGAAACUCUCGGCACAGCGUCCCCUCCAACCAGCGCGGUCCUGGGCGCGCCACCGCUGGGCUGCGCGUUGGCUGCAUCGCCCCCUGGUGGACUCCCGGGGCACCGCCGCCCGCUCCUGGCAAGCCCAGUCUCCACUCGCAGAUGACUCCUGAUAAGGUACUCACCCUGUUCAAUACCCCACACCAUCUACCUCCCCAUCGUCAGCAUUAGGGACGGACAGAAAUACACCCGAUUCCAGGCGGCUGGAGGCUUCUCUCCGAUGUGGCAACCCGGCCCAAUUAUAAUAAUUACGUCUUGCAAAUCAUAACCCUUUUGAUAUUUUAAACUCCUGAACAUGGCUCCUGUUGACAUCCCUCACACUUCCCUUGCACAACAGAAACACACACCGUCACACGCGAUCACCUGUACUCCUGAUAGAUCCAACAAGAUGAGGUUGCCAGAGGCCAUCAUCCGAGCAUCUUCCCCCAGCCCUGAGGUCUUCACCUGGUGCUGUCCUCCCCACCCUUUACAUCUGUUUGAAGAUCACUUUCCUAUCCAGGAAGACUUCUUUGCUCCUGAAAGAAGGAAUACCACAUUCUGGGAAGAUGCAGGAAACAACAUUCAGGACAAUGUAAUGGGUCAAGGAGUGGUCUCCCCCACCCCCAUUCACAGUCACCUUGAAUCUCAGAAUGUGACUUUAUUUGGAAAUAAGUUCUUUGCAGAUGUAACUAGUUAAGAUGUCAAACUGGAUUUGGAUGGCCCCUAACCCAAAAUGGCUGGCAUCUUUAUAAGACAAAGGAGAAUGAGAUUUAGGCACAGGGACACAGGGAAGAAGCCAUGUGAUGAAGAAGGCAGAGACUGAAGCAAUGUAUCUACAAAGCCAGAAACAAGGAGUGUCAUCAAACACCAGCAGCUAGGAGAGGGGCACAGAGUCAUCUCACAAAGAGCCUCCAGGAGGGCUGAACCCCACAAACAACUUCAUUUCAGGUUUCUGGCCUCCUGGACUAUGAGAGAAUAAACCUCUAUUGUUUUGAGCCACUAA